UGAGGUAAAUGGUUAUUUCUGUA
RNAcentral lists this non-coding RNA (23 nucleotides) under Arabidopsis thaliana (thale cress). The record is from RNAcentral. Lineage: Eukaryota; Viridiplantae; Streptophyta; Magnoliopsida; Brassicales; Brassicaceae.